RNAcentral lists this ribosomal RNA (301 nucleotides) under uncultured bacterium. RNAcentral's name for it is "partial 16S ribosomal RNA". It matches the Rfam family "Bacterial small subunit ribosomal RNA", at positions 509 to 807 of the family's 1533-position model. The record is from RNAcentral.
CAGUAGCCGCGGGAAUACGAAGGGGGCUAGCGUUGCUCGGAAUGACUGGGCGUAAAGGGCGCGUAGGCGGAUGGUACAGUCAGAUGUGAAAUUCCUGGGCUUAACCUGGGGGCUGCAUUUGAUACGUAUUGUCUAGAGUGAGGAAGAGGGUCGUGGAAUUCCCAGUGUAGAGGUGAAAUUCGUAGAUAUUGGGAAGAACACCGGUGGCGAAGGCGGCGACCUGGUCCUUGACUGACGCUGAGGCGCGAAAGCGUGGGGAGCAAAUGGGAUUAGAUACCCCUGUAGUCCCUGUCUCUUAUAC